Molecule: transfer RNA, 81 nt
Filed under: Massilia eurypsychrophila
Lineage: Bacteria; Pseudomonadati; Pseudomonadota; Betaproteobacteria; Burkholderiales; Oxalobacteraceae
Description: tRNA-Ala
Rfam family: tRNA
About the family: Transfer RNA (tRNA) molecules are approximately 80 nucleotides in length.
Source: RNAcentral
ACUCGAUAGCUCAAUUGGCGGAGCGCUUUGGUUUCGCAAGAGACCCUAGAGGCUGCAGGUUCGAUCCCUGCUCGGGUGCCA